Molecule: unclassified non-coding RNA, 240 nt
Filed under: soil metagenome
Description: partial contains 5.8S ribosomal RNA, internal transcribed spacer 2, and large subunit ribosomal RNA
Source: RNAcentral
AACGCACGAGACCUGCGGACCUGCGGAAGGAUCAUUACAUGGCGGAGAAGGUGGGCAACCUGGCCAACAUCCAGGUUGUGAUGCCUUCACGCUCUUCCACCCUUGUCUAUUUGCACCUUCUGUCGUUCCCUCGGCGGGUUUCGACCCGCCGGCGGCAACAUUGAAAAACCCUUUUUGCAGUUAGCAUUCAAUUCUUCUGAUCAAAUAUUAAAUCAUUACAACUUUUAACAACGGAUCUCU